CUUGGUCAUUUAGAGGAAGUAAAAGUCGUAACAAGGUCUCCGUAGGUGAACCUGCGGAGGGAUCAUUACACAAAUAUGAAGGCGGGCUGGAACCUCUCGGGGUUACAGCCUUGCUGAAUUAUUCACCCUUGUCUUUUGCGUACUUCUUGUUUCCUUGGUGGGUUCGCCCACCACUAGGACAAACAUAAACCUUUUGUAAUUGCAAUCAGCGUCAGUAACAAAUUAAUAAUUACAACGUUCAACAACGGAUCUCUUGGUUCUGGCAUCGAUGAAGAACGCAGCGAAAUGCGAUAAGUAGUGUGAAUUGCAGAAUUCAGUGAAUCAUCGAAUCUUUGAACGCACAUUGCGCCCUUUGGUAUUCCAAAGGGCAUGCCUGUUCGAGCGUCAUUUGUACCCUCAAGCUUUGCUUGGUGUUGGGCGUCUUGUCUCUAGCUUUGCUGGAGACUCGCCUUAAAGUAAUUGGCAGCCGGCCUACUGGUUUCGGAGCGCAGCACAAGUCGCACUCUCUAUCAGCAAAGGUCUAGCAUCCAUUAAGCCUUUUUUUCAACUUUUGACCUCGGAUCAGGUAGGGAUACCCGCUGAACUUAAGCAUAUCAAUAAGCGGAG
This 606-nucleotide ribosomal RNA is filed under the name uncultured fungus. RNAcentral's name for it is "eukaryotic LSU rRNA". The stretch from base 234 to 387 matches the Rfam family "5.8S ribosomal RNA". Lineage: Eukaryota; Fungi. The record is from RNAcentral.